This 591-nucleotide ribosomal RNA is filed under the name Salmonella enterica subsp. enterica serovar Coeln. RNAcentral's name for it is "partial 23S ribosomal RNA". It matches the Rfam family "Bacterial large subunit ribosomal RNA", at positions 57 to 688 of the family's 2925-position model. The record is from RNAcentral. Lineage: Bacteria; Pseudomonadati; Pseudomonadota; Gammaproteobacteria; Enterobacterales; Enterobacteriaceae.
CGUGCUAAUCUGCGAUAAGCGCCGGUAAGGUGAUAUGAACCGUUAUAACCGGCGAUUUCCGAAUGGGGAAACCCAGUGUGACUCGUCACACUAUCAUUAACUGAAUCCAUAGGUUAAUGAGGCGAACCGGGGGAACUGAAACAUCUAAGUACCCCGAGGAAAAGAAAUCAACCGAGAUUCCCCCAGUAGCGGCGAGCGAACGGGGAGGAGCCCAGAGCCUGAAUCAGCAUGUGUGUUAGUGGAAGCGUCUGGAAAGGCGCGCGAUACAGGGUGACAGCCCCGUACACAAAAGCGCAUGUGCUGUGAGCUCGAUGAGUAGGGCGGGACACGUGGUAUCCUGUCUGAAUAUGGGGGGACCAUCCUCCAAGGCUAAAUACUCCUGACUGACCGAUAGUGAACCAGUACCGUGAGGGAAAGGCGAAAAGAACCCCGGCGAGGGGAGUGAAAAAGAACCUGAAACCGUGUACGUACAAGCAGUGGGAGCACAGGUUUACCUGUGUGACUGCGUACCUUUUGUAUAAUGGGUCAGCGACUUAUAUUCUGUAGCAAGGUUAACCGUAUAGGGGAGCCGGAGGGAAACCGAGUCUUAAU